This 473-nucleotide ribosomal RNA is filed under the name Actinobaculum sp. oral taxon 183. Its description in RNAcentral is "bacterial SSU rRNA". It matches the Rfam family "Bacterial small subunit ribosomal RNA", at positions 28 to 497 of the family's 1533-position model. Lineage: Bacteria; Bacillati; Actinomycetota; Actinomycetes; Actinomycetales; Actinomycetaceae. The record is from RNAcentral.
GACGAACGCUGCGGCGUGCUUAACACAUGCAAGUCGAACGGGCUCUGUCUGGCUGUGUGCUGGGUGGGGUUAGUGGCGAACGGGUGAGUAAUACGUGAGUAACCUGCCCUCUUCUUUGGGAUAAGCCUUGGAAACGGGGUCUAAUACUGGAUAUUCCUGUCUGGUCGCAUGGCUGGGUGGGGAAAGUUUUUUCGGUGGGGGAUGGGCUCGCGGCCUAUCAGCUUGUUGGUGGGGUGAUGGCCUACCAAGGCGUCGACGGGUAGCCGGCCUGAGAGGGUGACCGGCCACACUGGGACUGAGAUACGGCCCAGACUCCUACGGGAGGCAGCGUGGGGGAUAUUGCACAAUGGGCGCAAGCCUGAUGCAGCGACGCCGCGUGGGGGAUGACGGCUUUCGGGUUGUAAACCUCUUUCGUCGGGGGACAGGGCUCUGCUUGGUGGUGGGGUUGAGGGUACCCGGUGAAAAGCGCCGGC